RNAcentral lists this ribosomal RNA (460 nucleotides) under uncultured bacterium. Its description in RNAcentral is "partial 16S ribosomal RNA". It matches the Rfam family "Bacterial small subunit ribosomal RNA", at positions 338 to 795 of the family's 1533-position model. The record is from RNAcentral.
CCUACGGGAGGCAGCAGUGAGGAAUAUUGGUCAAUGGACGAGAGUCUGAACCAGCCAAGUAGCGUGAAGGAUGACUGCCCUAUGGGUUGUAAACUUCUUUUAUAUGGGAAUAAAAUGUUCCACGUGUGGGAUUUUGUAUGUACCAUAUGAAUAAGGAUCGGCUAACUCCGUGCCAGCAGCCGCGGUAAUACGGAGGCUCCGAGCGUUAUCCGGAUUUAUUGGGUUUAAAGGGAGCGUAGGUGGAUUGUUAAGUCAGUUGUGAAAGUUUGCGGCUCAACCGUAAAAUUGCAGUUGAAACUGGCAGUCUUGAGUACAGUAGAGGUGGGCGGAAUUCGUGGUGUAGCGGUGAAAUGCUUAGAUAUCACGAAGAACUCCGAUUGCGAAGGCAGUUCACUGGACUGCAACUGACACUGAGGCUCGAAAGUGUGGGUAUCAAACAGGAUUAGAUACCCGAGUAGUC